CAGAGAUAUCAAUCAGGGGAGUCAAAAACCAGGCUUCCGCUGUGGGAUUUCACAAUAAAAGACGUGUCAAGGAACUUGUUGCUUUUGGUGGUGGGAAGUAACCUAGUACUGUUCUUAAGUACAGUUUUGAGGUACUUAUACUUUUCUUAGGUAUUUUCAUUUUGUAAUCGCAAAGAUUUUCAUUCAAAUGUCUGUUUAUUUCAAUGAAGGAGCACAAUGGGGAUUGAGCAUAGCACUGAUACAAGUGUAUUGCAAUAUUUAUAUAUUUGCAGUAUUACGA
Sander lucioperca (pikeperch) is the source of this 280-nucleotide long non-coding RNA. RefSeq lists it as uncharacterized. NCBI's taxonomy places the organism in Eukaryota, Metazoa, Chordata, Actinopteri, Perciformes, Percidae. The transcript has 3 exons. The record is from RefSeq and is a predicted model, not a curated record.